This is a long non-coding RNA of Coffea eugenioides, 608 nucleotides long. RefSeq lists it as uncharacterized. The record is from RefSeq and is a predicted model, not a curated record. The transcript has 2 exons. NCBI's taxonomy places the organism in Eukaryota, Viridiplantae, Streptophyta, Magnoliopsida, Gentianales, Rubiaceae.
UUCGGCCGUCAUUAGGGAUUUAGGCGUUUAGGGAUUUUUUCUUCUUUGUUUCUCUAAGAAGUGAGAACCAAUUGAGAACUUCUUCAACAUUUAGGGAUUCGGCCAUUGUUUUGUCGGCAGCUUAAUUUUUCUUUCCUUUGCUUUGCUAGUUGCUCUGAGAGUCUGAAGCAAGCAAUUAGAAGUUCGAAGUUCAAGCUUCGAAGUGGAACUCCAGAAUUCUUCCACGAAGCUGCCGCUGCCAUUGAAGGCUUGAAGCUUUGUUGCCGUUAAGCCACCGAAGCCAGAUGAAACUCUAAAUUUGGAUGAUUUGGACACUGGAGAUGAAGAUGAGACCAAUAAUGAAGAGAAUGUGGAAAGAAAUGUUCUUAAUGUGGGCUGUGAUGUAAAUGAACUUGGUGGUACUGAAUUUGGCAGAAGUUGGGAACCAUGGGCAUGAAUAAUAGAUGGAGUGAACUACUCAAGUGAUAAUUGUGGUGUUGUUUAUGUUCAUGACUUUAUGUUUGGUUGUAUUGAAUUUGUCGUUUAUGACUUAUGUUUCAUGGUUUGAUACUUAUAUUUAUGUGUGUGAAAUGAAUUAUGAACUAUGAACAGGUUAUAACUUGUUGAGA